Molecule: microRNA, 19 nt
Filed under: Ciona intestinalis (vase tunicate)
Lineage: Eukaryota; Metazoa; Chordata; Ascidiacea; Phlebobranchia; Cionidae
Description: cin-miR-4180-3p
Source: miRBase by way of RNAcentral
GAAUCUUACUGUAUGGCAG